Molecule: ribosomal RNA, 693 nt
Filed under: uncultured Lachnospiraceae bacterium
Lineage: Bacteria; Bacillati; Bacillota; Clostridia; Lachnospirales; Lachnospiraceae
Description: bacterial SSU rRNA
Rfam family: Bacterial small subunit ribosomal RNA
Source: RNAcentral
GACGAACGCUGGCGGCGCGCCUAACACAUGCAAGUCGAACGAGCGAGAGAGAGCUUGCUUUCUCGAGCGAGUGGCGAACGGGUGAGUAACGCGUGAGGAACCUGCCUCAAAGAGGGGGACAACAGUUGGAAACGACUGCUAAUACCGCAUAAGCCCACAGCUCGGCAUCGAGCAGAGGGAAAAGGAGCAAUCCGCUUUGAGAUGGCCUCGCGUCCGAUUAGCUAGUUGGUGAGGUAAUGGCUCACCAAGGCGACGAUCGGUAGCCGGACUGAGAGGUUGAACGGCCACAUUGGGACUGAGACACGGCCCAGACUCCUACGGGAGGCAGCAGUGGGGAAUAUUGCACAAUGGGGGAAACCCUGAUGCAGCGACGCCGCGUGGAGGAAGAAGGUCUUCGGAUUGUAAACUCCUGUUGUUGAGGAAGAUAAUGACGGUACUCAACAAGGAAGUGACGGCUAACUACGUGCCAGCAGCCGCGGUAAAACGUAGGUCACAAGCGUUGUCCGGAAUUACUGGGUGUAAAGGGAGCGCAGGCGGGAAGACAAGUUGGAAGUGAAAUCCAUGGGCUCAACCCAUGAACUGCUUUCAAAACUGUUUUUCUUGAGUAGUGCAGAGGUAGGCGGAAUUCCCGGUGUAGCGGUGGAAUGCGUAGAUAUCGGGAGGAACACCAGUGGCGAAGGCGGCCUACUGGGC